This 274-nucleotide ribosomal RNA is filed under the name uncultured bacterium. Its description in RNAcentral is "partial 16S ribosomal RNA". It matches the Rfam family "Bacterial small subunit ribosomal RNA", at positions 523 to 796 of the family's 1533-position model. The record is from RNAcentral.
AUACAGAGGGUGCGAGCGUUAAUCGGAAUUACUGGGCGUAAAGGGCGUGUAGGUGGCAAAUCAAGUUAGGUGUGAAAUCCCUGGGCUUAACCUAGGAGUUGCACUUAAUACUGGUUAGCUAGAGUUUAGUAGAGGAAAGGGGAAUUUCCGGUGUAGCGGUGAAAUGCAUAGAUAUCGGAAGGAACACCAGUGGCGAAGGCGACUUUCUGGACUAAAACUGACACUGAGGCGCGAAAGCGUGGGUAGCAAACAGGAUUAGAAACCCCGGUAGUCC